Molecule: ribosomal RNA, 502 nt
Filed under: uncultured bacterium
Lineage: Bacteria
Description: partial 16S ribosomal RNA
Rfam family: Bacterial small subunit ribosomal RNA
Source: RNAcentral
GACGAACGCUGGCGGCGUGCUUAACACAUGCAAGUCGAACGGUGAAGGGGUCUGCUUUUGUGGGCCCUGGAUGAGUGGCGAACGGGUGAGUAACACGUGAGUAACCUGCCCCCUUCUUCUGGAUAACCGCAUGAAAGUGUGGCUAAUACGGGAUAUUCUGGGUCUGUCGCAUGAUGGGUCUGGGAAAGAUUGCGCCUUUGGGUGUUGUUGGUGGGGGAUGGGCUCGCGGCCUAUCAGCGUGUUGGUGGGGUGAUGGCCUACCAAGGCGGUGACGGGUAGCCGGCCUGAGGGGGUGGACGGUCACACUGGGACUGCGGCACAGCCCAGACUCCUACGGGGGGCAGCGGUGGGGAAUAUUACACAAUGAGCGCUAGCCUGAUGCAGCGGCGCCGCGUGAGGGGUGGAGGCCUUCGGGUUGUAAACCUCUUUCGCCAGUGAAGCAGGCCUGCUCCUUGUGGGUGGGUUGACGGUAGCUAGAUAAGAAGCGCCGGCUAACUACGUG